CAGUCGCCGCGGUAAUGCGAAGGGUGCAAGCGUUAAUCGGAAUUACUGGGCGUAAAGCGUGCGUAGGCGGUGAGUUAAGUCUGCUGUGAAAUCCCCGGGCUCAACCUGGGAGUGGCAAUGGAUACUGGCUCGCUAGAGUGUGUCAGAGGAUGGUGGAGUUCCCGGUGUAGCGGUGAAAUGCGUAGAGAUCGGGAGGAACAUCAGUGGCGAAGGCGGCCAUCUGGGACAACACUGACGCUGAGGCACGAAAGCGUGGGGAGCAAACAGGAUUAGAUACCCCCGUAGUCCCUGUCUCUUAUAU
Molecule: ribosomal RNA, 301 nt
Filed under: uncultured bacterium
Lineage: Bacteria
Description: partial 16S ribosomal RNA
Rfam family: Bacterial small subunit ribosomal RNA
Source: RNAcentral